RNAcentral lists this ribosomal RNA (407 nucleotides) under uncultured bacterium. RNAcentral's name for it is "partial 16S ribosomal RNA". It matches the Rfam family "Bacterial small subunit ribosomal RNA", at positions 29 to 526 of the family's 1533-position model. The record is from RNAcentral.
AUUGAACGCUAGCGGGAUGCCUUACACAUGCAAGUCGAACGGAGUGGCGAACGGGUGGGUAAUGUAUCGGAACGUGCCCAGUAGCGGGGGAUAACUACGCGAAAGCGUAGCUAAUACCGCAUACUAUUGGAGCGGCCGAUAUCGGAUUGGCUAGUUGGGGGGGGAAGGGAUCACCAAGGCGACGAACCGUAGCUGGGUUGGGAGGACGACCAGCCCCACUGGGACUGGGGCACGGCCCAGACUCCUACGGGAGGCAGCAGUGGGGAAUUUUGGAAAAUGGGGGAAACCCUGGUCCAGCCAACCCGCGUGUGAGAUGAAGGCCUUCGGGUUGUAAAGCACUUUUGGCAGGAAAGCGGUACCUGCAGAAUAAGCACCGGCUAACUACGUGCCAGCACCCGCGGUAAUAC